This 484-nucleotide ribosomal RNA is filed under the name uncultured bacterium. Its description in RNAcentral is "partial 16S ribosomal RNA". It matches the Rfam family "Bacterial small subunit ribosomal RNA", at positions 28 to 507 of the family's 1533-position model. The record is from RNAcentral.
GAUGAACGCUAGCGAUAGGCUUAACACAUGCAAGUCGAGGGGCAGCGAGGGUAGCAAUACCUGUCGGCGACCGGCGCACGGGUGAGUAACGCGUAUGUAACCUGCCCGCAACAGGGGGAUAACCCGGCGAAAGUCGGACUAAUACCGCAUAAAACAGGGGUCCCGCAUGGGAAUAUUUGUUAAAGAUUUAUCGGUUGCGGAUGGGCAUGCGUACCAUUAGGUAGUUGGUGAGGUAACGGCUCACCAAGCCUUCGAUGGUUAGGGGUUCUGAGAGGAAGGUCCCCCACACUGGUACUGAGACACGGACCAGACUCCUACGGGAGGCAGCAGUGAGGAAUAUUGGUCAAUGGGCGAGAGCCUGAACCAGCCAAGUCGCGUGAAGGAUGACUGCCUAUGGGUUGUAAACUUCUUUUACAAGGGAAUAAAAUGAGAUACGUGUAUUUUAUUGCAUGUACCUUGGGAAUAAGCAUCGGCUAACUCCGUG